This 220-nucleotide ribosomal RNA is filed under the name Echinococcus granulosus. RNAcentral describes it as "partial 12S ribosomal RNA". The record is from RNAcentral. Lineage: Eukaryota; Metazoa; Platyhelminthes; Cestoda; Cyclophyllidea; Taeniidae.
GUAUUUUGUAAAGUUGUUCUAGUUUUGUAACUAAAAUGGUUUGGCAGUGAGCGAUUCUUAUUAGGGGAAUAUGCAUAGUGAAGGAUGGUCCACCUAUUAGUUUACUCUUUUUAUGUUGGUGUAUGUCUGGUUUGAUAUUAUUGUUGAAUAAUUUAAGUUUGUGUAGUUUUAGUUAAGCUAAGUCUAUGUGCUGCUUAUGGGAGUUUUUGUGUGUACAUAA